Molecule: ribosomal RNA, 460 nt
Filed under: uncultured bacterium
Lineage: Bacteria
Description: partial 16S ribosomal RNA
Rfam family: Bacterial small subunit ribosomal RNA
Source: RNAcentral
CCUACGGGAGGCAGCAGUGAGGAAUAUUGGUCAAUGGACGAGAGUCUGAACCAGCCAAGUAGCGUGAAGGAUGACUGCCCUAUGGGUUGUAAACUUCUUUUAUAUGGGAAUAAAAUGUUCCACGUGUGGGAUUUUGUAUGUACCAUAUGAAUAAGGAUCGGCUAACUCCGUGCCACCAGCCGGGGUAAUACGGAGGAUCCGAGCGUUAUCCGGAUUUAGUGGGUUUAAAGGGAGCGUAGGUGGAUUGUUAAGUCAGUUGUGAAAGUUUGCGGCUCAACCGUAAAAUUGCAGUUGAAACUGGCAGUCUUGAGUACAGUAGAGGUGGGCGGAAGUCGUGGUGUAGCGGUGAAAUGCUUAGAUAUCACGAAGAACUCCGAUUGCGAAGGCAGCUCACUGGACUGCAACUGACACUGAGGCUCGAAAGUGUGGGUAUCAAACAGGAUUAGAUACCCCGGUAGUC